CAGCAGCCGCGGUAAUACGGAGGGGGCUAGCGUUGUUCGGAAUUACUGGGCGUAAAGCGCACGUAGGCGGCUCGGUAAGUUAGAGGUGAAAGCCUGGAGCUCAACUCCAGAAUUGCCUUUAAGACUGCCGAGCUAGCAGGUGAGAGAGGUAAGUGGAAUUCCGAGUGUAGAGGUGAAAUUCGUAGAUAUUCGGAAGAACACCAGUGGCGAAGGCGGCUUACUGGCUCAUACUGGACGCUGAGGUGCGAAAGCGUGGGGAGCAAACAGGAUUAGAUACCCCUGUAGUCCCUGUCUCUUAUAC
This 301-nucleotide ribosomal RNA is filed under the name uncultured bacterium. Its description in RNAcentral is "partial 16S ribosomal RNA". It matches the Rfam family "Bacterial small subunit ribosomal RNA", at positions 509 to 807 of the family's 1533-position model. The record is from RNAcentral.